ACUCCUACGGGAGGCAGCAGUAGGAAUUUUCGCAAUGGAGGGAACUCUGACGGAGCAAUGCCGCGUGUGGGAAGAAGGUUUUCGGAUUGUAAACCACUGUUGUAAGGGAAGAAAGAGGUUAGUAGGAAAUGGCUAACAAGUGACGGUACCUUACCAGAAAGGGACGGCUAACUACGUGCCAGCAGCCGCGGUAAUACGUAGGUCCCGA
This 208-nucleotide ribosomal RNA is filed under the name uncultured bacterium. RNAcentral's name for it is "partial 16S ribosomal RNA". It matches the Rfam family "Bacterial small subunit ribosomal RNA", at positions 335 to 537 of the family's 1533-position model. The record is from RNAcentral.